Molecule: ribosomal RNA, 253 nt
Filed under: uncultured bacterium
Lineage: Bacteria
Description: partial 16S ribosomal RNA
Rfam family: Bacterial small subunit ribosomal RNA
Source: RNAcentral
UACGGAGGGUGCAAGCGUUGUUCGGAAUCAUUGGGCGUAAAGCGCGCGCAGGCGGAUCAGUAAGUCAGAUGUGAAAUCUCGAAGCUCAACUUCGAAGCUGCGUCUGAAACUACUAGUCUAGAGUGUCGGAGGGGGUAGGGGAAUUUCACGUGUAGGGGUAAAAUCCGUAGAGAUGUGAAGGAACACCGGGGGCGAAGGCGCCUACCUGGACGACUACUGACGCUGAGGCGCGAAAGCGUGGGGAGCAAACAGG